GACGAACGCUGGCGGCGUGCCUAAUACAUGCAAGUAGAACGCUGAAGGAGGAGCUUGCUUCUCUGGAUGAGUUGCGAACGGGUGAGUAACGCGUAGGUAACCUGCCUUGUAGCGGGGGAUAACUAUUGGAAACGAUAGCUAAUACCGCAUAAGAGUAGAUGUUGCAUGACAUUUGCUUAAAAGGUGCAAUUGCAUCACUACCAGAUGGACCUGCGUUGUAUUAGCUAGUUGGUGGGGUAACGGCUCACCAAGGCGACGAUACAUAGCCGACCUGAGAGGGUGAGCGGCCACACUGGGACUGAGACACGGCCCAGACUCCUACGGGAGGCAGCAGUAGGGAAUCUUCGGCAAUGGACGGAAGUCUGACCGAGCAACGCCGCGUGAGUGAAGAAGGUUUUCGGAUCGUAAAGCUCUGUUGUAAGAGAAGAACGAGUGUGAGAGUGGAAAGUUCACACUGUGACGGUAUCUUACCAGAAAGGGACGGCUAACUACGUG
RNAcentral lists this ribosomal RNA (495 nucleotides) under uncultured bacterium. RNAcentral's name for it is "partial 16S ribosomal RNA". It matches the Rfam family "Bacterial small subunit ribosomal RNA", at positions 28 to 507 of the family's 1533-position model. The record is from RNAcentral.